AUUGAACGCUGGCGGCAUGCCUUACACAUGCAAGUCGAACGGCAACAGAUUUUCGGAUGCCGACGAGUGGCGAACGGUUGAGUAAUACUUCGGAACGUGUCCAGACCUGCUGUAUAACGGGGCGUAACGUUUGCUAAUACCGCAUACUAUCUCAGGAUGCCUGCAGGGGACAGCAAGGGCUUUUGGGACUUUGGCCGCCGAUGUCAGAUUAGGUAGUUGGAGGGAUAAAAGCUUACCAAGCCGACGAUCGGUAGCUGGUCUGAGAGGACGACCAGCCACACUGGAACUGAGACACGGCCCAGACUCCUACGGGAGGCAGCAGUGGGGAAUUUUGGACAAUGGGCGAAAGCCUGAUCCAGCAAUGCCGCGUGCAGGAUGAAGGCCUUCGGGUUGUAAACUGCUUUUGUACGGAACGAAAAGGCGCUGGCUAAUACCUGGUGCACAUGACGGUACCGAAAGAAUAAGCACCGGCUAACUACGUG
This 482-nucleotide ribosomal RNA is filed under the name uncultured bacterium. RNAcentral's name for it is "partial 16S ribosomal RNA". It matches the Rfam family "Bacterial small subunit ribosomal RNA", at positions 30 to 507 of the family's 1533-position model. The record is from RNAcentral.